RNAcentral lists this ribosomal RNA (254 nucleotides) under uncultured bacterium. Its description in RNAcentral is "partial 16S ribosomal RNA". It matches the Rfam family "Bacterial small subunit ribosomal RNA", at positions 524 to 776 of the family's 1533-position model. The record is from RNAcentral.
CACGUAGGGUGCGAGCGUUGUCCGGAAUUAUUGGGCGUAAAGAGCUCGUAGGCGGUGUGUCGCGUCGGCCGUGAAAACCUGCAGCUUAACUGUGGGCUUGCGGUCGAUACGGGCAUCACUGGAGUUCGGCAGGGGAGACUGGAAUUCCUGGUGUAGCGGGGAAAUGCGCAGAUAUCAGGAGGAACACCGGUGGCGAAGGCGGGACUCUGGGCCGAUACUGACGCUGAGGAGCGAAAGCGUGGGGAGCAAACAGG